Molecule: ribosomal RNA, 392 nt
Filed under: uncultured bacterium
Lineage: Bacteria
Description: partial 16S ribosomal RNA
Rfam family: Bacterial small subunit ribosomal RNA
Source: RNAcentral
AUACGGAGGAUCCGAGCGUUAUCCGGAUUUAUUGGGUUUAAAGGGUGCGCAGGCGGCCAUUUAAGUCAGCGGUUAAAUCGUGGGGCUCAACCCCAUUCUGCCGUUGAUACUGGGUGGCUUGAUUGCGGUCGAGGUUGGCGGAAUUCGUUGUGUAGCGGUGAAAUGCAUAGAUAUGACGAAGAACACCGAUUGCGUAGGCAGCUGACCAGACCGCAAAUGACGCUCAUGCACGAAGGUGCGGGGAUCGAACAGGAUUAGAUACCCUGGUAGUCCGCACAGUAAACGAUGAAUACUUGUUUUCGGCGAUAUAAUGUCGGAGGCAAAGCGAAAGCGAUAAGUAUUCCACCUGGGGAGUACGCCGGCAACGGUGAAACUCAAAGGAAUUGGCGGGG